Molecule: ribosomal RNA, 435 nt
Filed under: Burkholderia sp. Mb343RE
Lineage: Bacteria; Pseudomonadati; Pseudomonadota; Betaproteobacteria; Burkholderiales; Burkholderiaceae
Description: bacterial SSU rRNA
Rfam family: Bacterial small subunit ribosomal RNA
Source: RNAcentral
AAAGCCGGAUUAAUACCGCAUACGAUCUACGGAUGAAAGCGGGGGAUCGCAAGACCUCGCGCUAUUGGGGUGGCCGAUGGCGGAUUAGCUAGUUGGUGGGGUAAAGGCCUACCAAGGCGACGAUCCGUAGCUGGUCUGAGAGGACGACCAGCCACACUGGGACUGAGACACGGCCCAGACUCCUACGGGAGGCAGCAGUGGGGAAUUUUGGACAAUGGGCGCAAGCCUGAUCCAGCAAUGCCGCGUGUGUGAAGAAGGCCUUCGGGUUGUAAAGCACUUUUGUCCGGAAAGAAAUCCUCUGGGUUAAUACCCCGGGGGGAUGACGGUACCGGAAGAAUAAGCACCGGCUAACUACGUGCCAGCAGCCGCGGUAAUACGUAGGGUGCGAGCGUUAAUCGGAAUUACUGGGCGUAAAGCGUGCGCAGGCGGUGAUGU